Molecule: RNA transcript, 7771 nt
Organism: Armigeres subalbatus
Lineage: Eukaryota; Metazoa; Arthropoda; Insecta; Diptera; Culicidae
Gene: Klp31E
Gene name: kinesin-like protein KIF21A
Exons: 18
Source: RefSeq, a predicted model, not a curated record
UAUUUUGGUUCACGAGUCUCGCAUCAGGUGCUUGCUUUUUCGCUUCGCAAUCGUUUCGUUCAGUCAACAGAAAACAUUCGCGGUUGGCAGACACGGUUUCUUCGGAACGGGUCGCUGUUUUUUGGCGUUUUUCUUGUCUAGUGCUCUUUGAUUUUUUUUCGGUUUUCUUUUUGUUGUUGGUCUCAGUGUGGCGACCUCCAUCGGAGACAGAUUCGGUGGCUGUCUUUGCAAUAAAUUUAUUGAAAUCAAAAUUGAUUUUCUCUGCGGUGUCUUCAACUGAACGGACGACGGAAAAUUGCCUUGCAGUGCCUGUGUGGAAAAUUAUUCGGCUCUCGGAGUCGGAGUUUGUGCUUGCGAGAAGUGUGAAGAAAAUUAUUUAUCGAGACCGAUUCGGUAAUGGAUGGAAAAUUAUAUUUUGUGCUGUAGUGCAGUCAGCAGGUUUUUGGACGCGGAGAGCGAAAAUGACGAAAAUGGAAACACGCGAAUAUCGAUUGCUUUGAUCGCUAAAGUUUAUUCACACUGGGAUCAUUGAAAGGACACAAAAAAUCACAUGCAAAAGUGCAAAUAAAUUAAAAAAUUCCUACCUGAGCAUAAAGCCUUGUAAUCGGCUUCCAACCAAUGUGUUGAGACAAACAAUAAAGAUUCCGUGGUGGUGUUGGAUAAUUGAAAUUCCAAGAGUUGAAAUACAACGAAGAAAUUGAUCAAUGUAGAUUGUGGAUGUUAAGUGCGAAUUUGUGAAUAAUUUUCGAGAUUGGAUUUAUACGCAGCCCUGUGUGCGAAAUUUUUAAUAACUCCGGAUUAACAUAAAAAUUGGAACGCAAAACGCCAGCCAGCCAGCCAGCGAGUGGUGGCGGAAAGAGAAAUCCAUCAGAUUAGUGUGUGCUGCAUGUGAAAGGAUAUCCAAAUUGUUAUCGUUUGCGCUCACUAUUCGGUUAUUGUUCCUAUCCGGGAAAUAACGUCGGAUGAAUAAAUAUUUCUACGACGGUCGUCAAAAAUAGCGUAGAACGGCGGAUACAGAGAGCGUACCUCCAUCAAAGGUGGCAAGAUGUCAGACGACGAUAAGGAAUCCUCGGUUCGGGUUGCUGUCAGAAUCCGCCCACAGAUACCACGCGAGCUGAUAGACAUGUGCCGGGUGUGCACUCAAGUCACACCCGGUGAGCCACAGGUCUAUCUGGGUUCCGAUAAAGCCUUCACCUUCGAUUACGUGUUCGAUGUGAACGCCACACAGGUUUCCGUAUAUACCAGCUGUGUCGAUAAAUUAGUGGAAGGCGCGCUGAAGGGUUACAAUGCAACUGUGCUGGCGUAUGGACAGACUGGUUCGGGUAAAACCUACACAAUGGGAACCGGCUUCGAGCGGGACAUUCCGGAACUGCAAGAAGGCAUAAUCCCACGUGCGGUGCGGCACCUCUUUGAGGGCAUAGUCCAGCUACAGGAAAAUCCGUAUGACGAGGAUGGGGUCUACCUGGGAUCGUUGCAGUUCAGCGUGGCGGCGCAGUUCAUGGAAUUGUAUAACGAGGAAAUCAUCGACCUGCUCGAUCCAUACAGCAAAGGCCGUCUGUUUAAAAUUCACGAAGACUCAAGUGGAGGCAUAUCAGUAGCUGGUGCAACUAUACAGCCCCUUACCGGACCACAGGAUGCGUUACGGUGUUUACAGCAGGGUGCGCUGGCACGCACUACCGCCUCCACUCAAAUGAACGAACAGUCAUCCCGAAGCCAUGCUCUCUUCACAAUCCUCAUCCGACGGCAGCGGGUAAUGAGUGCCGAGGAAAGUGGAAAUCCGGAAGGGGAUUUGGAAACGCUCACAUCCAAGUUUCACUUUGUGGACCUGGCCGGUUCGGAGCGGCUCAAACGGACCGGCGCAACAGGUGAACGAGCCCGCGAAGGAAUCUCAAUUAACUGUGGCCUGUUGGCAUUGGGCAACGUGAUAUCGGCCCUGGGCGACAAAACGAAGAAGGUUUCGCACGUUCCCUAUCGGGACUCGAAACUGACUCGAUUGCUGCAGGAUUCGUUAGGUGGAAACAGUCAAACCAUCAUGAUUGCCUGUGUAUCGCCGAGUGAUCGUGACUUCAUGGAGACACUCAACACACUCAAAUACGCCAACCGGGCGCGCAACAUCAAAAACAAAGUACAAAUCAAUCAAGACCAGAGUUCGCGUACGAUCUCACAGCUGCGGCGGGAGAUCGCCGCUCUGCAGCUGGAGCUUGUGGAGUACAAGCAGGGUAAACGUAGUGUCGAUGCUGAAGGUAAUGCUGAAAUUUCGGACACUUAUCUAGAGAAUGCGAUGCUCAUGCAAGACAACAAACGUCUCCAACAGCGACUAAAGGCCAUGCAGGAAACCAUCAACACUUUAACGGACAAAAAUGCCACCCUGCAGGCACAACAAGCGCUUUUCGGUUGGUCUUCCGGAAGUACCGGAGAGGGAAGUGCCGAUCAGGGUGAGGACGGUGGCGAGAGCGCUAUGCAGCAGCUUGUUGCUGGCUACAUAAGUGAGAUCGAAAAGCUCAAAGCAAAACUGAUCGAAUCCGAGCAGAUGUUCCAGCAAAUGAAGAAAGCGCAACUAUGCCCGUCCAAGCUGGGACUGAAAAGCAACUAUUCCUUCAUUGCGGACUCGACCGAAACGGUAAUUAACAUGGCGAAACGAGAACUCGAAAAGGAACGAGAACUGUUGAUGUCGCGGUCGUUGCCAGGAUUAGAGAAUGACAGUAGCAAUCAAAGCCUGGAGGAUGGAUCGGAUAGCGAUUCGGAUACGGAAUCGGAUGAUAAAACAGGGGAGCUGCAAGCGGAAAUAAACGAUAUUAGCUCGGACAUUGAAAUAAAAUCAAAGCUAAUUGAACAAUUGGAACUGUCACAGCAGAGGAUGCAGGUCAUGCGACAGCAAUACGAGGACAAAUUGAAUGUGUUGAACGCAAAGAUCGUUAAUACGCAAAAGGAACGUGAUCAGGUGCUAGCAAAUAUGAGCGGAUCAGGGAUUGUAGUUGGAAGUGCACAAAAUGACAGAAUAAGAAAAGUGAAAGAGGAGUACGAGCGAAAGUUGUCGGAGAUGCAAAGAGAACUGAAGAAGUUGCAGAUGGCACAACGAGAGCACGCAAGGCAGCAGAGGGAGCUUCAUGCGCAAGAUGCGCAACUGAAGACACUGCGUGGAGAAUUAAGCGAACUGAAACAGAUAAAGAUUCGAUUGAUGAAGAAGAUUCAGGAAGAGAACAAUAAGCACAAAGAACUUGAAAGUCGAAAAACUCGCGAAAUUGCGCAGCUUAGAAAGGAAAGCAGAAAGCAAGUUAAUAUGAUCAAAUCGCUUCAAGCUCAGGGAGCGGCAAAGGAUCAAGUUUUGAAGAGGAAAACUGAGGAAGUUUCGAAUUUGAGGAAGAAUCAACGCGGAAUGAUGAGCAUGAAAGCAGCUGGUAGAUUCCCCGUGAAAAAGUCAGUUGCUGCACAAAACACUAAGAAUCUCAAGGCUAAGUGGGACUCUCUGCAAAGAACUAUUACCAGAGCGGCAAGAAGUAGGCAGGCGGUGUUAGAACUUGAACGAGAAUUGGAACGGUUAUUGCAGGAACGGGAUGGUUUGAGUCGUGACUUGGCGAAUGUUCGAAGCAGGCAGCGGCAUGCAGAAACAGCAGAGUUAGUUUCGGAGGAGGAUACCAUAAUGGCCAAUAUGAAUUACAUUCAGGAGAACAUCGCCCAGAUACAGCAUUCCAUAAUGGAGCUGGAGGAAGGCAAAGAAUCUGCUGCGGAACAGCAGCAAAUGCAGAGCAUUCUGGAAAACAUCCACUCGGUUGAGGAGGCUAAGUUUAUUCUGGAAAAACUGUGUGGCACAUCAGUUGCGCAAGUAUGCGAGGCCGCUCUUACGCAAACUCGGCUGAAAGAACGGGAAGCGUUGUUGAACGAGGUUCAACAAGACAGCAGCAUUCAACAACAACUUCUGCAGCAUAUUCUGGCAAGGACCCCUGCGGCAACACUGUCCGAAACGAGCUUCAGUUCCGGUCAUUCACACCAUUCCAACAUGGUGAACUCGAUGCUGCAAGCGGCCAUAUUGUCCAAUGGAAUCUCAUCUGCGUAUGAAGAUCGACCGGAGACUACGGAAAACCAAGGCUAUGUGAUUAACACCAUCACUCGGAGUCCAUCGCCUAGUAGUAGCACUGAAUUCGAUAACGAUAACAUUGUCACCUACAGAAACUCCUCCAAGCUAAGACGAAGGCCCACUGUUCCUGCCGGUCAGGAUUCGCUGCCGUACGGUGGUUCCGGUGUCGGGCCGGACGUGUCCGGUUCCCCGACCGCCACCAGCAGCAAGCUUGAGAAAGUGGGUAUUUGUAUUUAUCUUGAGGAUUCGGCAGAUGACGAUGACACGAUGAAACAUUCUCCGCAGGAUGAGAAUGGUGGAUUCGGUGCUGGUUUGAUGGGCGGAAUGACCCGAUCCUAUACCGCAGCCUCGUCCAGCGAUGCACCGCCUCAUCUCCCGGUGGUGCAGAGCAAUAGCACAGCGGCAGCAACAGGUCGCACCUUUGUACCAUUGUCGAAGGUCCCUAGUGCACCAGGAUCUUUAAAAGGUCUCCAACCAGUGCCAAACAUUUCGCGCCAAAAUAGCACCGCAUCGCCCCUAUUGACUCGAAAGUCGUUCGAACCGAGUACAAUUGCGCCUCCGUCGCCCCGAAUCUCCAGGAGACCGUUCCCCAGCAAGGCGUCCCCGGGAAUCGAGGAUACCAACGAUGUUCCUACUUCGCCUCCGGUAUAUCGCCGGGGAACCUCACGGGAAGAUGCCGGUGGUGAUGUGUUUUCACGACUUGGUGCAGGCACGCAGGAUCCGUCGCCUGGUGGCAACAUCAAAGAGUAUAUGGGAAAGUUGAAGGCUGGUUCUCCACUGAUCUGUACUCACAUUGUUGAAGGCCACAGUAACUCCGUUCUGUCCAUUAAGGUGUCCAAACAGACGCUCUUCACCGCGGCAGCCGAUCGUACUGUCAAGGUUUGGGACUUGCGAAGCGGAUCGACACCGCACUGUCUUACCGGUCAUUUGGGUCCGGUCGCUGCGGUGGAGUGCGAUCCAACCAACAAUCUUCUGUUUUCCGCAUCCGGAGCUUUCACAAAAGUAUGGGACCUUCGCGAUAGUAACAUCCGGCCAAUUAUAACCUUAUGUUCCUCAGGAUCGGUCCUUCCAGCAACCGCAUCACUAUCGGAUCUGAAUCCCGGUGAGUGUUCGAUCACUGCACUCAAACUCGGUACUUCCGGGAAGCUGUACACGGCCGCGUCCGAUAAAGUCCGCAUCUGGGAUCUGCGGACAUUUUCGUGCCUCGGGCGACUCGCCGGCGGUCAUCAAGCGGCUGUUAUGUGUCUUACCGCUUGGGAGGGUCCCAACAAUACUGACCUCGUGGCAACCGGUUCCAAGGAUCACUACGUCAAAGUGUUCGAGGUCAAUUCGAGUGGUGGUACUGUGCCGCCACUGCUCAACUUGGAACCGCCACAUUACGACGGAGUGCAGGCUCUUGCGGUGGCAAAAGAUGCCACCGGAGUCGAUGCCGAGCUAUUUUCCGGGAGUAGGGACUCCGGCAUUAAAAGGUGGGACCUGCGCACCGGAGAACUCAAGCAAUCGCUCAACAACGCCCAUAAAGGCUGGGUAUCCGGAAUGGCCAUCUAUGGCGACAUUCUGCUGUCUAGCUGUCGUAGUGGCGUUAUUCGCUUAUGGAAUGUUAAAAAUUGUGAUAGCCUAGCCGAGACGAAGACCGAACAGUCAAUUAACGACAUCGUCACCAGCGACAACAGGGUCUUCACGGCCUCCAAUAAUGGCGAAGUUCGAAUUUGGCGUUUGGCUAAUAGUGAACUGGAAUCGUUGGGAGCUGGUUCUGGUUCUGGUGGAGAUGGUACUAAUUCGGGUAGCAGCAAAGUCAUUGGCAAAGUUUACCAUAUGGACGAUGUUUGUAGUUUGGGCUUUAGAAUUGGUAUUGUUCUUUUUCUGUCCACUGCACCACAUCAACGGUAGUAGGGGCUUUCGUGGUCCCAGCUGCACAUCGUGUUGUUAUUGAUUAGAACAAGUGGUUUAAGGUGACGGUAAGGUGCGGGUGUGGCGCGUUUCAUCCACCAUCCGGCGGCUGAGCGCCGAGAACAGAUGACGCCAGAGCACGGAAGCGAUGCUGGAUCGAAUGUCCUACAACUUUAGCAUGCGUAACAUUCACUCCGCGUCGACUUCCGUUUCCGGUGCCACCCAGAGCGCCGGAGCAGAACUACUCGUCACUCACCAACCAGAUAGGCGAAGACCGAUGUCCACGUCGGCAACAGCGGGAUCGUCUCCGUCGUCAGGAUCGCCGACGCACCACGGUGCUGGUGCUGGGAAGAUAUCACAGCUGUCUUCUCAGUCCUUCAGUUCGCCGAACUCUUCUACGUCCAUACGCAACAGUAGACUCUACAGGAGCCUAAAUCACAACUAUCUAGGUAUACUAAGCAAGGUGAACAGCAGGCGGUAGUAAUAGUUAAUUGCCACGGUUUUAGAUAACUUUAAGCAAAAAGACUCGAAACAUCAGCCAAACAGGCACUUAAGAGGCCUAACCAUUAUACGAAUCGACUGAUAAGUCUUUGAUGAUGAAAGUCAAUAAUAUCCUGCUUGACUCUAUUAAUCAGUAUAGUGCCUGUUUGUCUGUGAGCUUAAUUUCGCCAAUUAGAUAGACUUAUUAGCAGUGUAGGAGACUGAAAGACAUUUAGUGGGAUAAUGUCACACCCAGAGUUUUUAGUAAGCAGGGUUUCAAUCGACUUCGGGCGUUGCAACAACACAAUAAAACUGAGUUUAGCUUUAGCUGAGACAUAGCUUUAAACACCGGUCUUCAGCUCUCUCUGUCUGCGGAGGCUGUUGAUUUGUCUGCUCCCAUCGCACAACAAGAAGACAACACUUGCCUUCGAUUCCACAAUCUGUGAGAAUCCCACAAAAAAUACAUGAACAAAAGAAAGCUUCACCAUUGACAAGCAAUAGCUGUAAAAUAGGAACAAAUCAAUCAGAAUUUAAACUUCCCUUAUACUCACUCUACAUAAGAAAAGACAACGCAAACAGUAUUUUACUCACUAAUUUCCCAAAGUUUCCUCUCCCACCAAACCCGUCUCUCCAUAGUUGCAUUCAGUGUAUGAGUAGGAACGUGUAUCUAAUUAUGAAUAACAGGCCCAAAAUCGAUUGGUUGUGAUGUAGGUGUAAGAGAGAUUGUAUUAAAGUAUAUUUUUUAUCAUGCAUCAUUUAUUCAUCAUCAGUUUAUGCGCAAAUCAUUAGUUGUUAUUAUAUGGUUUUAGUUUUUAAACAGUAUUUUAAAUAAAUGAGUUUUUCUCAAUUUUUCUUUUUUUGGCCGAAAGCUACUGCCAAAAUAUAAUUAUUGUACUUACAAUGUGUUUAUUCGAUUCGAUAGUUAUAAAUGUAAAACUAUGCUAAAAAGUGCGACAUACUACUGCAAGAGUAUUUUACUAAAUCUCAAUGUAUUGAUUUGAUGUUCAUAUUUUAAAAUUUUGCAUUAUAUAAUAUAGUUUGGUUUGAUUAUCUAUCAAUACUAAUUUCUUUGUAACUUUCCUAGGCAUAUCUGUACGAACAAAAAAGAAAUUUAAUCUAAAGCAUAUGCAAUCGAAUGAAUCUGAUGUUAUAACAGGUUUUACGUGUAAUCAUGAAAUUAAUCUUUUGCGGGAAUGACAAAACAUAAUAGAGUAUAGUGUGUGUUAAAACAACUUUGCUAACUAUAGAUAUUAGCCAGUUGAAACUGAAAAAAAUAAUACAGUUGAAAACAGAAUGCCACAAAUAUAAGGCACGCUCAAUACCUAA